CCGCCCUCGCACGCGAAGCUCCCAGCUAGCUUCACUACAGAAAAUGACUGAGCGGCGAACGGGUGAGUAACGCGUGAGCAACUCUACCUUACCUUACAGGCAUAGCCCGCAGGCAAACCCGCGAUUAAUACCUGAUAUUCUUUAUUUCUCGCAUGAGCAAUAACAAGGAAAGGUCAGCCGAACUAAGAUGAGCUCGCGUUCUAUCAGCUAGUUGGUGAGGUAAAAGCUUACCAAGGCCUACGCACGGACUAGCCUGGCUCUGCAGAGCGACGACUCAGCCCACCACUGGCGACCUGAGCACACGCGCCCAGCACUCCCUACGGCGAGGCUGCAGCAGGGAAUAUUGCUGCAAUGAACGAAAGUCUGACACAGCGACACCGCGUGUGGGAUGACGGAUCUAGGCUUGUAAACCACUUUCAGGAGGGAAGAAAAUGACGGUACCUCCACAAGAAGCCCCGCGCCAACUACGUGCCAGCAGCCCGCGGUAAUACGUAGCGGGGCGAGCGUUGUCCGGAUUUAUUGGGCGUAAAGAGCUCGCUAGGCGGUUCAACAAGUCGGUCGUGAAAGUUCAGGGCUCAACCCCUGAAAUGUCGAUCGAUACUGUCGCUGACUAGGAUACGGCAGAGGUGAGUGGAAUCCCGAGUGUAGCACUGAAACGCGUACACUAUCGGACGAACACCACAGCGAAGGCGAUCACGCGCCGCUCUCACGCUGACGACGAAGCUAGGGACCAACGGAU
RNAcentral lists this ribosomal RNA (739 nucleotides) under uncultured Actinomycetes bacterium. RNAcentral's name for it is "bacterial SSU rRNA". It matches the Rfam family "Bacterial small subunit ribosomal RNA", at positions 44 to 778 of the family's 1533-position model. Lineage: Bacteria; Bacillati; Actinomycetota; Actinomycetes. The record is from RNAcentral.